AACGAACGCUGGCGGCAUGCCUAACACAUGCAAGUCGAACGAGACCUUCGGGUCUAGUGGCGCACGGGUGCGUAACGCGUGGGAACCUGCCCUUAGGUUCGGAAUAACUCCCCGAAAGGGGUGCUAAUACCGGAUAAUGUCUUCGGACCAAAGAUUUAUCGCCUUUGGAUGGGCCCGCGUUGGAUUAGCUAGUUGGUAGGGUAAAAGCCUACCAAGGCGACGAUCCAUAGCUGGUCUGAGAGGAUGAUCAGCCACACUGGGACUGAGACACGGCCCAGACUCCUACGGGAGGCAGCAGCGGGGAAUAUUGGACAAUGGGCGAAAGCCUGAUCCAGCAAUGCCGCGUGAGUGAUGAAGGCCUUAGGGUUGUAAAGCUCUUUUACCCGGGAUGAUAAUGACAGUACCGGGAGAAUAAGCGCCGGCUAACUCCGUG
RNAcentral lists this ribosomal RNA (433 nucleotides) under uncultured bacterium. RNAcentral describes it as "partial 16S ribosomal RNA". It matches the Rfam family "Bacterial small subunit ribosomal RNA", at positions 29 to 507 of the family's 1533-position model. The record is from RNAcentral.